Long non-coding RNA from Hemicordylus capensis (graceful crag lizard), 1315 nucleotides. RefSeq lists it as uncharacterized. NCBI's taxonomy places the organism in Eukaryota, Metazoa, Chordata, Lepidosauria, Squamata, Cordylidae. The record is from RefSeq and is a predicted model, not a curated record. The transcript has 3 exons.
AGGUUUUCUCAAGAGUCUUUGAUGAGGAACUUGGUCGAAAGCUUUUUGAAAGCCCAAGUACACUAUGUCAACUGGAUUACCUUUAUCCACAUACCUGUUGACACUCUCAAAGAACUCCAAAAGAGUCCCUGGAAGAAGGACAUUCUACAGCAAUAUAGAAAACAUGUGUGCCGCUUUCCCCGUCAAUCACUGCUUAGAAAACGUCACCAAUAAUUUGUACUGUGGAAGUGCUCGAUUUACGGACCCCUGGGUCUAAUUGGAUCCGCUGAUUUCGGCUAAAUCCCAUUCUGUCAACAGCUCAGUGGUGGGUCCUUUUGUGUGCAAAGGCCUAAGGCUUCAUCCAUUGGACUGAACUCCGUUGGACUUACUUCUCAGUAUACAUGAUUGCAGUGCAUGAAGAGGAAUGAACCAUGGCACACACAACAGCAAGUAUUCUUUUAGAGCUAAAGUAGUGCUGCAAAUUCAUACUAUCGUGCACGAAGGAAUGCAAUGGUAGUCUUGAAUCUCGGGAAUCCCACUGGCAGUAUUACAGAUGCAUGUUUACCUUGCAGACAUGUAGUUAGAACUAAAUGGGGAGAAAAGCAGUUUUAGAGGGAGGGAAACAGCAGGUGAGAGAAACAUGCUGAACCCUCCCUGCAGGAUGGAGAGGUGGUCUGGGGCUAGUGAGCAUCAAUUAAUUAUCCCCUUUGCUACGCAAGGUUUGUCCUGGUUUGCCAUCGGAAGGGAGACUACAUGUGAGCUUUGUCUGCUGUAAGACAAUCCUGAUGGGACCAUGUUGUAUUCUAUCUAGUAAUCUCUUAUGUUUUGUUUUUGAGAAGUUUGUCUCAAUGGGGAUCCUGUAGAGAGUGUGGGAGUGGAGUCAGAAAGGGAAAGGGAGAGAAAGGAGAAAGAGAAAUUUUAUUUAUUUAUUUAUUAAAAUUUCUUGUAUACCGCCUCCUCCAAAGACUCUGGGUGGUGAACAAUAACAAUAGCAAUAUUUUUUUUAAACAAUUAAAGGGCAAAAGCCUGGCAAAAAAGGUAGGUCUUAAGGGCCUUAAAAGCCACUAAGGAGGGGGCUGAAUGAAUCUGGGUGGGAAGGGUGUUUCAAAGAAGAGGGGCAGCCCGAGAGGAGGCCCUCCUAUGGGCCCAGGCACCAUGCACUACACCAGGGCCCAGGACGCUAAGGAGGAGUUGUUUCUGAAUAAACUCUUAGUUAAAUCUACAUAAUAUUAUUUAUUGAGGGAAACAGCUAUAAAACAGGUCAUAGCUCGGUGGUAGAGCAUCUGCUCACAUGUAGAAUCUUCCAGCUUCACACCCUGGCAUAGGAACAAAGGAA